UAGGGAAUCUUCCACAAUGGACGCAAGUCUGAUGGAGCAACGCCGCGUGAGUGAAGAAGGUUUUCGGAUCGUAAAGCUCUGUUGUUGGUGAAGAAGGAUAGAGGCAGUAACUGGCCUUUAUUUGACGGUAAUCAACCAGAAAGUCACGGCUAACUACGUGCCAGCAGCCGCGGUAAUACGUAGGUGGCAAGCGUUGUCCGGAUUUAUUGGGCGUAAAGCGAGCGCAGGCGGAAGAAUAAGUCUGAUGUGAAAGCCCUCGGCUUAACCGAGGAACUGCAUCGGAAACUGUUUUUCUUGAGUGCAGAAGAGGAGAGUGGAACUCCAUGUGUAGCGGUGGAAUGCGUAGAUAUAUGGAAGAACACCAGUGGCGAAGGCGACUCUCUGGUCUGCAACUGACGCUGAGGCUCGAAAGCAUGGGUAGCGAACAGGAUUAGAUACCCUGGUAGUCCAUGCCGUAAACGAUGAGUGCUAAGUGUUGGGAGGUUUCCGCCUCUCAGUGCUGCAGCUAACGCAUUAAGCACUCCGCCUGGGGAGUACGACCGCAAGGUUGAAACUCAAAGGAAUUGACGGGGGCCCGCACAAGCGGUGGAGCAUGUGGUUUAAUUCGAAGC
This 611-nucleotide ribosomal RNA is filed under the name uncultured Lactobacillus sp. RNAcentral's name for it is "bacterial SSU rRNA". It matches the Rfam family "Bacterial small subunit ribosomal RNA", at positions 355 to 957 of the family's 1533-position model. The record is from RNAcentral. Lineage: Bacteria; Bacillati; Bacillota; Bacilli; Lactobacillales; Lactobacillaceae.